RNAcentral lists this ribosomal RNA (253 nucleotides) under uncultured bacterium. Its description in RNAcentral is "partial 16S ribosomal RNA". It matches the Rfam family "Bacterial small subunit ribosomal RNA", at positions 524 to 776 of the family's 1533-position model. The record is from RNAcentral.
UACGGAGGGUGCAAGCGUUAUCCGGAUUCACUGGGUUUAAAGGGUGCGUAGGUGGGCUAGUAAGUCAGUGGUGAAAUCUCCGGGCUUAACCCGGAAACUGCCAUUGAUACUAUUAGUCUUGAAUACCAUGGAGGUGAGCGGAAUAUGUCAUGUAGCGGUGAAAUGCUUAGAUAUGACAUAGAACACCAAUUGCGAAGGCAGCUCGCUACGCGGUUAUUGACACUGAGGCACGAAAGCGUGGGGAGCAAACAGG